UACGUAGGUGGCGAGCGUUGUCCGGAUUUACUGGGCGUAAAGAGCGCGCAGGCGGUCGUACAAGUCGCGUGUGAAGGCCCCCGGCUCAACUGGGGAGGGUCACGCGAUACUGUUCGACUCGAAGGCAGGAGAGGGUAGUGGAAUUCCCGGUGUAGUGGUGAAAUGCGUAGAUAUCGGGAGGAACACCAGUGGCGAAGGCGACUACCUGGCCUGUUCUUGACGCUGAGGCGCGAAAGCUAGGGUAGCAAACGGG
Molecule: ribosomal RNA, 253 nt
Filed under: uncultured bacterium
Lineage: Bacteria
Description: partial 16S ribosomal RNA
Rfam family: Bacterial small subunit ribosomal RNA
Source: RNAcentral